Molecule: transfer RNA, 71 nt
Filed under: Camelus bactrianus (Bactrian camel)
Lineage: Eukaryota; Metazoa; Chordata; Mammalia; Artiodactyla; Camelidae
Also listed under: 1 other name
Rfam family: tRNA
About the family: Transfer RNA (tRNA) molecules are approximately 80 nucleotides in length. Their secondary structure includes four short double-helical elements and three loops (D, anti-codon, and T loops).
Source: Rfam by way of RNAcentral
GAGGGUACAGCUCAGUGGCAGAGCACGUGCUUAGCAUGCACGAGGUCCUGGGUUCCAUCCCCGUACCUCCA